AAAGAUCUCCAGCCUGCUCACAGGACUCCUUGUGAGUAGCCAGCAGCCCAGGCCUCCUCCAGUGGGGUGUGACUCAGCAACUGCAAGGAGGCUUCUACUCCACAAAGCUCCAUAUUCUGAGGAUAGGAGAUUGUAUAUUUCAUUCUGUAUUUCAUCCUUUUAAGUGGUAAGCUCUAUCAGGCACAACACAAGUGCCCGGAGUCUGCAGUGCUUGCUGUGAAGGGCCAACAAAGAUCUCCAGCCUGCUCACAGGACUCCUUGUGAGUAGCCAGCAGCCCAGGCCUCCUCCAGUGGGGUGUGACUCAGCAACUGCAAGGAGGCUUCUACUCCAUCAAGCUCCAUAUUCUGAGGAUAGGAGAUUGUAUAUUUCAUCCUGUAUUUCAUCCUUUUAAGUGGCUGUUCCAGUUUCCAUGCGCCGGCAGCCUGGGCAAAACGAGUCAACUGGGCAAAACUCCAAGACUCUGGCAGCAAACUUGCAGGCUGUUCCAGUUUCCAUGCGCCGGCAGCCUGGGCAAAAUGAGUCAACUGGGCAAAACUCCAAGACUCUGGCAGCAAGCUUGCAGGUCUGUUUGCUGUGAAGGGCCAACAAAGAUCUCCAGCCUGCUCACAGGACUCCUUGUGAGUAGCUAGCAGCCCAGGCCUCCUCCAGUGGGGUGUGACACAGCAACUGCAAGGAGGUUUCUACUCCACAAAGCUCCAUAUUCUGAGGAUAGGAGAUUGUAUAUUUCAUCCUGUAUUUCAUCCUUUUAAGUGGCUGUUCCAGUUUCCAUGCGCCGGCAGCCUGGGCAAAACGAGUCAACUGGGCAAAACUCCAAGACUCUGGCAGCAAACUUGCAGGUCUGUUUCUUGGUAAACCUCUGGCAACAUGUCCAUAAAUCCAUAAAUCCACAUUUUUUCCUUUUCAGUCUACACAAGGUCCAAAGUGGGUCACCUCCUAUUAUAGGAAGAUAUAUGGCGGCUGUUCCAGUUUCCAUGCGCCGGCAGCCUGGGCAAAAUGAGUCAACUGGGCAAAACUCCAAGACUCUGGCAGCAAGCUUGCAGGUCUGUUUGCUGUGAAGGGCCAACAAAGAUCUCCAGCCUGCUCACAGGACUCCUUGUGAGGAGCCAGCGGCCCAGGCCUCCUCCAGUGGGGUG
Molecule: non-coding RNA, 1134 nt
Organism: Anolis sagrei ordinatus
Lineage: Eukaryota; Metazoa; Chordata; Lepidosauria; Squamata; Anolidae
Source: RefSeq, a predicted model, not a curated record